AGAUGCUAAGCCUGGAAACCCACAGGAAACAUGUUAUUCUUCAGUAUUUGCAAAGCACUGAUCAAAAACAUCUCUCUUCUCUCAAUCUUGCUUCCUUCUUUUCAUUUACUAAAUAGGCUUUUGAGCCUUACAAGACUUUGAGAUUUUAUGGAUAUGAAACCUGCUAUCAUUUAGCUUCCUGCCUCUGGGAAUAG
This 194-nucleotide long non-coding RNA is filed under the name Pan troglodytes (chimpanzee). Its description in RNAcentral is "lincRNA". Lineage: Eukaryota; Metazoa; Chordata; Mammalia; Primates; Hominidae. The record is from RNAcentral.